AUAUAGGUCAAGCUACAAAGGGCGCAUGGUGAAUGCCUUGGCAUCAGGAGCCGAUGAAGGACGUGAUAAGCUGCGAUAAGCUUCGGGUAGGCGCACAUAGCCUGAGAUCCGAAGAUCUCCGAAUGAGGAAACUCACAUGGGAAACCCCAUGUAUCAUUAAGUGAAUACAUAGCUUAAUGAAGGUAACCCAGGGAACUGAAACAUCUAAGUACCUGGAGGAAGAGAAAGAAAAAUCGAUUUUCUUAGUAGCGGCGAGCGAAAGGAAAAGAGCCCAAACCGGAAACUUGUUUCCGGGGUUGAGGACAUAACAUAAAGAGAAGUAAUGGCUAAUUGAAGAGAACUGGAAAGUUCCACCGUAGAAGGUAAUAGUCCUGUAAAUGAAAGCUAGUAUAAUCGAGUUAUGAUCCAGAGUACCACGAGACACGUGAAACCUUGUGGGAAGCUGGGAGGACCACCUCCCAAGGCUAAAUACUACCUGAUGACCGAUAGUGAAGCAGUACCGUGAGGGAAAGGUGAAAAGAACCCCGGAGGGGAGUGAAAUAGAACCUGAAACCGUGUGCCUACAACCGCUCAGAGCCCCUUAUGAGGGUGAUGAGGUGCUUUUUGUAGAACGAGCCAACGAGUUACGGUAUGUAGCAAGGUUAAGUACUUAAGGUACGGAGCCGAAGGGAAACCGAGUCUGAAUAGGGCGACUAGUUGCAUGCCGUAGACCCGAAACCGGGUGACCUAUCCAUGGCCAGGUUGAAGCGAGGGUAAAACCUCGUGGAGGACCGAACCACGUUGCUGUUGAAAAAGCAUGGGAUGAGCUGUGGAUAGCGGAGAAAUUCCAAUCGAACCCGGAGAUAGCUGGUUCUCUCCGAAAUAGCUUUAGGGCUAGCGUCGAGUAUGAGUAGUGGAGGUAGAGCACUGAAUGGGCUAGGGGGCAUAGCGCUUACCGAACCUUAUCAAACUCCGAAUGCCACAUACUUUGAGCUCGGCAGUCAGACUACGAAUGAUAAGAUCCGUGGUCAAAAGGGAAACAGCCCAGAUCGUCAGCUAAGGUCCCAAAGUGUAAGUUAAGUGGGAAAGGAUGUGAGAUUUCUAAGACAACUAGGAUGUUGGCUUAGAAGCGACCAUUCAUUAAAAAAGAGUGCGUAAUAGCUCACUAGUCGAGAGAUCUUGCGCCGAAAAUGUAACGGGGCUAAACUUACCACCGAAGCUACGGGCUUGAACUUAGUUCAAGCGGUAGGAGAGCGUCGUAACCGGGCUGAAGUCGUACCGUAAGGAGCGGUGGACUGGUUACGAGUGAGAAUGUUGGCAUCAGUAGCGAGAUGUGGGUGAGAAUCCCACAGGCCGAAAACCUAAGGUUUCCUCAGGAAGGUUCGUCCGCUGAGGGUUAGUCGGGACCUAAGCCGAGGCCGAAAGGCGUAGGUGAUGGACAACUGGUUGAUAUUCCAGUACCACUACCAUCGUUAUUAUCGAUGGCGUGACGCAGGAGGAUAGUGUGUGCUAGCUAUUGGAUGCUAGUCUAAGCGUUUAGGCAGUGAGAGUAGGCAAAUCCGCUCUCAUAAUGCUGAGACGUGAUGGGGAAGGUUCUACGGAACCGAAGUACAUGAUUCCACGCCGCCAAGAAAAGCGUCUAGAGAGAGAAGUAGUGCCCGUACCGCAAACCGACACAGGUAGGUGAGGAGAGAAUCCUAAGGCCGGCGGAAGAAUUACAGUUAAGGAACUCGGCAAAUUGACCCCGUAAGUUCGCGAGAAGGGGUGCCUACGAGAGUAGGCCGCAGAGAAUAGGCCCAAGCAACUGUUUAGCAAAAACACAGGUCUCUGCUAAAGCGUAAGCUGAUGUAUAGGGGCUGACGCCCGCCCGGUGCUGGAAGGUUAAGGGGAACACUUAGCGCAAGCGAAGGUGUGAACUUAAGCCCCAGUAAACGGCGCCGUAACUAUAACGGUCCUAAGGUAGCGAAAUUCCUUGUCAGGUAAGUUCUGACCCGCACGAAUGGCGUAAUGACUUGGGCACUGUCUCAACUGUAAAUCCGGCGAAGUUGUAGUGCGAGUGAAGAUGCUCGCUACCCGCGAUUGGACGGAAAGACCCCGUAGAGCUUUACUGUAGCUUAGCAUUGAGUUUUGGUAUUGUCUGUACAGGAUAGGUGGGAGACUAGGAAACCAGGGCGUCAGCCUUGGUGGAGUCAACCUUGGGAUACCACCCUGACAGUACUGAAAUUCUAACUGGCGGCCAUGAAUCUGGUCACAGGACAUUGUUAGGUGGGCAGUUUGACUGGGGCGGUCGCCUCCUAAAAAGUAACGGAGGCGCCCAAAGGUUCCCUCAGAACGGUCGGAAAUCGUUCGAAGAGUGCAAAGGCAGAAGGGAGCCUGACUGCGACACCCACAAGUGGAGCAGGGACGAAAGUCGGGCUUAGUGAUCCGGUGGUACCUCGUGGGAGGGCCAUCGCUCAACGGAUAAAAGCUACCUCGGGGAUAACAGGCUGAUCUCCCCAAGAGUCCACAUCGACGGGGAGGUUUGGCACCUCGAUGUCGGCUCGUCGCAUCCUGGGGCUGAAGUAGGUCCCAAGGGUUGGGCUGUUCGCCCAUUAAAGCGGCACGCGAGCCGGGUUCAGAACGUCGUGAGACAGUUCGGUCCCUAUCCGUCGCGGGCGUAGGAAAUUUGAGAGGAGCUGUCCUUAGUACGAGAGGACCGGGAUGGACUGACCUCUGGUGUACCAGUUGUUCCGCCAGGAGCACAGCUGGGUAGCUAAGUCGGGAAUGGAUAAACGCUGAAAGCAUCUAAGCGUGAAGCCAACCUCAAGAUGAGAUUUCCCAUAGCGUAAGCUAGUAAGAUCCCUUGAAGAACACAAGGUUGAUAGGUCGGGGGUGUAAGCAUGGUAACAUGUUCAGCUGACCGAUACUAAUAGAUCGAGGGCUUGACCAAAU
Molecule: ribosomal RNA, 2910 nt
Filed under: Clostridium perfringens
Lineage: Bacteria; Bacillati; Bacillota; Clostridia; Eubacteriales; Clostridiaceae
Description: 23S ribosomal RNA
Rfam family: Bacterial large subunit ribosomal RNA
Source: RNAcentral